Molecule: ribosomal RNA, 459 nt
Filed under: uncultured bacterium
Lineage: Bacteria
Description: partial 16S ribosomal RNA
Rfam family: Bacterial small subunit ribosomal RNA
Source: RNAcentral
CCUACGGGCGGCAGCAGUGAGGAAUAUUGGUCAAUGGGCGAGAGCCUGAACCAGCCAAGUCGCGUGAGGGAGUACUGCCCUAUGGGUUGUAAACCUCUUUUGUCGGGGAGCAAAAGCCGGACGUGUCCGGCUGUGAGAGUACCCGAAGAAAAAGCAUCGGCUAACUCCGUGCCAGCAGCCGCGGUAAUACGGAGGGUCCGAGCGUUAUCCGGAGUUCUUGGGUUUAAAGGGAGCGUAGAUGGGUUGUUAAGUCAGUUGUGAAAGUUUGGGGGUCAACCGUAAAAUUGCAAUUGAUACUGGCAGGCUUGAGUACAGUUGAGGUAGGCGGAAUUCGUGGUGUAGCGGUGAAAUGCUGAGAUAUCACGAAGAACUCCGAUUGCGAAGGCAGCUUACUAAACUGCCACUGACAUUGAUGCUCGAAAGUGUGGGUAUCAAACAGGAUUAGAUACCCCUGUAGUC